GUCUAAGGCCAUACCACCCUGAAGGUGCCCAUCUUCUCUGAUCUCAGAAACUAAGCAGGGUCAGGCCUGGUUAGUAAUUGGAUGAGAGAAAAGAAAAUGAUGUUUAUAAUAGGACUAAUCAGGAUGUACAUA
This 132-nucleotide ribosomal RNA is filed under the name Castor canadensis (American beaver). Lineage: Eukaryota; Metazoa; Chordata; Mammalia; Rodentia; Castoridae. The record is from RNAcentral.